ACCAAGUUUGUAGUUGCUUUAUCGGUGGGAGAAAAAGAGGCGUAAGACUGAAAUCGGAAAAAAGAGGCGUAAGAUUGAAAUCGGAAAAAAGAGGCGUAAGAUUGAAUUCAAUUAUUCUCACGAAACCAGAAAAAGAAAAGCAGAGGAUUAUAAUUGAUUAUCCAAGAAUGUAUAAUCUUGAUGAUUCUUGAUUAUUCUUGAUUGAGAAGGUUAAUAAAAAUUGAAAAGUUGCUAUGCUUGGAUGAUCUCAAAUUUAACUAUGAGAUAAAUUCUUGACUUAUAUGUGGCCUUCAAUAUGAAUUUUUUAUUCAUAUGAAAUGAAUCUGAUAUAAUAUGUUUCGAUGACCAAGUAUUUAAUUACGAGAUGAAUUCUUGACCCAAAAUGUGGUUUGCAAUAUGAAUUUUUUAUUCAUAUGAAAUUGCCAUAAUAUUUUUUGGAUGACCGUAACAGUUGCCUUCAAUAUGAAUUCUUUAUUCAUAUGAAAAGAGAUUGAGAAUUUGAGAUAGUAUGAUUGAAUUAUUUGGAAUUUAAUCACGAGAUAAUUCUUGACCCAAAAUGUGGCUUGCAAUAUGAAUUUUUUAUUCAUAUGAAAUGAAAUUGAGAUAGUAUGAUUGGAAGACCCGAAACUUAACAACGAGAUGAACUCUUGACCUAAAAUGUGGCUUGCAAUAUGAAUUUUUUACCCGUAUGAAAAGAAAUUGAGAUGACAUUUUUGGAUGACCUUGAAAUUUAAUUACGAGAUAGAUUCUUAACCCUAAAUGUGACCUUCAAUAUGAGUUUUUUUAUUAAUAUGAAAUUGAGAUAGUAUUUUUGGAUGAUCCGAAGUUUAAUUAUGAGAUAGAUUUUUAACCAUAAAUGUGGUCUUCAAUAUGAAUGUUUUAUUCAUAUGAAAUGAAAUUGAAAAAUUGAGAUAGUAUGAUUGGAUGACCCGAAGUUUAAUUACGAGAUGAAUUCUUGUUCUAAAAUGUGGCUUGCAAUGUAAACUUUUUAUUCAUAUGGAAUGAAAUUGGGAUAAUAUGAUUGGAAAACCUGAUAUUUAAUUACAAGAUGAAUUCUUGACCCGAAAUGUGGCUUGCCAUAUAAAUUUUUUAUUGAUGUGAAGUUGGAUCUUGACCCUACAUGUGGCCUUCAAUAUGAGUUUUUUAUUCAUUUGAACUUGGAAUUGGAUGGGCAGUAUUGUGCCUCGAUGAUCUUAGACACAAAUUUAAUCUUUGAGUCUAUAUGACAUUAAAUUCGAUAAAUUGAGAUGACAAUAUUGUGCCUCAAUGACCUUGGGUGGUGUGAUGAAAUUGGGUUGUCCUGUUGAAGCGGCAUCUUACAAUGCCUUGUUGACGGGCUCGAAAGGCAAAGAAAUUCAAAAGAUCAUUAAACUGUUGGCAGAGAUGGAAGAAACGAAAAUACAGAUCCAGUGUUAUAACCUUUGGGAUUAUUAUUAAUCACAUAUGCAAGGCUAGGAGGAUCAAUCAGGCGUUGAGGGUAUUUGAUAAAUGAUGUGGUCUUGUAUAAUACUUUGAUUGACAAGCUUAGUAAAGUUGGGAGGGAAGAAGAUGGUUUGAGUUUGCUGGCAAAGAGGAAAACUGAGAAGAAAAAUAGGCCAAACAUUGUUCCAUAUAAUUGCUUGAUUGAUGGGUUAUGCAAAGCUGAAAGGAAAUGCUGUUACUUAUACUGUUCUGAUAUCUGCAUUCUGUGGUGUGAACAAUAUUGAUAAAGCCAUGCAAUAUUUUGAUGAGAUGUUGAGUUCUGGAUGCUGACCGGAUGCAAUUGUUUACAUGAAGUUUGGUAUCUGGCUUACGCAUUGCUGGAAGGAUAAGUGGUGCCAGUGUUGUUAUGUCACAGUUGAAACGGGUUGGGUUCAGUCUUGAUACAUAUGAGGCAGUUAUACAUUCAUUCAUAUUGUUUAAAAAAGAAUGUUGAUGAGGCCAUGAAGUCACUCUGUCAGUAGUAGGUUUGAGAUAUAAGCUAAAUGCUUAGCUUUUAAUUGUCUAAGCUCCAAACUUUCGUACUCUUUUGAGCUCAUUUACAAACCAUAUUAUUUUAGUAAUAUGAUGUGGAAUCACAUUACUUUAUUUGGUUAUCAGAUUGAAUAACUGUUUGAACUUUGAAGGGGUUGAUCAUGAACUUUCUAUUAGGAUACUAUGACACUUUUUUUCUUAUUGAUGAAAAAAUUGAACUAUCUAAGAAACAGAGGACAAGAUAGUGUGCCAAUUGAUGAAGGCAGCAGAAUGGAUAGUGUGACCCUAACAAUUAAAAAUUGAAAUUUGCACAGAUCACGUCGCGUGUGGAAGAAGGGAUAUGUGCAAGUUGGAAGUCUUGAUGUUUGUUGUUGUUAAUAAAUUUUAUUAUAUAGGUGUUUUGCAAUUGGAAUUGUGGUCUUCUGUGACAAUCGAUCUAAAGUUGCAAAUUCUGUCACUUAAAUUUCAGAUGCAUAUUCAGUUUUUUUUUCAAUGCCUUUUUUGUUAGCUUUUGUAUUUUGUUAUAUUUUACCCUUGUGUGCUCAAUUGUCUCUUUGGUAUAGGUUCAUGAUGUAUUUUAUAUCAUAUCCAAGGGUUCUAAUUAUAGGCAGACAGCAAUAGCAAGAGUUCUAUGGUUACAAAAAGGAUUUAUAAAAGGAGUUCUAAUUACAGUAUUAAUGGUUACCCUGAGUACUGUCUUAGAAUUGAAUUUUGUUAGUUGGUUAAUCCUCCUUUCACUUCCUUUUACAUGUUCAUUUUUCUAACCAUUGCUUUUGGCGUGCUGAAAAUGUAAUCCUAUUGCUACUCUUGAUUAUGCUUAGAGCAAAAUUGGAGUUGAUGAUGAUCAGUGGUGUUGUGAACUUGGAGUUUAAGAAUGAAAGACUACUGAGACAAAUUCAUCAAAGGAAUUACUGGGGUCAAAUGUAUAUUUCAUGUUACUCAUAAGUGAGGGAAUUUGUGCUUUUGAUUGCACAGCCGAAGGUAAUGGAAGAAGAUUAUCAGGGUGCUUUAAAGGUUUAUGAGGAGAUUGUGAAGGAAGAACCAGAGAUUUUAGACCCUAUUUGUGUCAAUGUGUUGUGUAUACUUUGGUUAGAAAGAAUGAUGAAGCUGAGAAACAGUUUGAGGAGUAUAGAAAACUUGUACCUGAGAAUCACCCUUAUAAAGAGUAUUUAGAAGAUAACACUAAGAUUUUCUCAAAAAAACUAGAAAGGAAAGGAAUAGAUGCAAAGAGUUGAGAAUCAGAAUCACGCACAGAGGGUUUAAUUUUGAGUCAGCCAAAACUAAUGAUAGGACCAAAACAAUUUACAGCCAAAGAGGUCACUGCACAGGAAAUGUACGGUUCAAAUUUGCCGUCCUUGCUGUUAGUGAUGCUAAAAAAAGCUGAGAUGACAAACGGAGAAGGGAGAAAACAAGAAAAGCGUGAAAUUACAGAGACGAAACUAAAACAAUUGUGAACUUGGAGUUUAAGAAUGAAAGACUACUGAGACAAAUUAAUUAAAGGAAUUACUGGUCAGUAUUCUUUAUAAUCAACUCUAACUUUCUGUAUAACAUUCUUUAUAUGAAUGAGUUGUUACAUAAAUAAUUAAAUAUAUACUGUUACUUUUAAUAAAAUGGUCUUAAUUUAAAUCGGUCUUUAUUAUAGUUUAUUAGCAUGUUAUCACGUUGACUUAUGAGUUAUGCGUAGACUAAUAUAUGCAUUUCGGCUUCAUCAAACCAAAUUGUCACCAAAUCCGUCUGCCUUAAAAUUGAUAAAAACAGCUACCCAAUAUUUCUUGAUCUGAUCUACAUAGUCUCGGACCAUAAAAUUGUGAACUGCCACCUACCUUUGGUUUGUGACUUUUAUUCAAUAUUUGUGGAAAGAAUGGGGAAAGCAUCUGUCCAGGUAUUGUCUGUAGAGGUAAAUACCUAUUGUCAUUUUAUAUUUUGUUCUAAUUAAUGAUGUGGAAGAUGAUUGGGAUACUGUUUACAUUUUAUAUACGAAAUAAUGGCUGAAACAUUCCCUAUGCAUUUUAUGCUAUAAAGCAUGGGGUACUUCUAAAAUGGUGAAGUACCCAUACUAGGUGCUUACCCAGUACUGGGACUCGUACCAUAUUUGUGGGUAUUCUGUUUUUAUUUAUUUUAUUUCGAGUGAAAUUAAUGAUUUUGUUAUAUAUUAAUAUAAUAUUAUUUGUUUAUUUGAGUUUAUUUGUUAUUGUAAUCGAACACAAUUUGUGAUUUGUUAGACAUUUAUUUUGAUUUUGUAUUGUGAAUUGAACAAUUUAACUCUCUAAGUUAAAUUAUAUAAAAAAAUUAAUGUUUUUCAUUGAUGUAUCCAUACCUUAAUUUAAAAAAAAAAAAAUACCAUAUCACGUACUCGUACCAGUACCUGAUACUAGUACUGUACCUAUGCGUCAUAGAUCUUAUGCUGAUACAAUUUUCAUGCCAUUGUAUUGAUUUUACCAUAUAUUUCCUCUGAUUAUGAUAUCAUUGUGCAAACAUAUCGGUCUGUGAACAUGAGUUUGAAGUAGAGGUUGUGUCGUUGGGUUGGGCUCUAUGCUCACUAAGCUUGAUUCUGAUUUGCAACGGAAAAUUAGGCGCACAGGCUUGAAGUGUGGUAAUGAGUAACGGUACCUGGUCGCAUAUGCAAGAGUGAAGUGGUCAUUAUAUUUUUUUAGUUUGCUUACUUUCAUUUCUACGGGUCAAGUGGAAAUUAUAUGCUUUGAUUGCUCAUUGCUCAUUCAGGUUUGAAGUGGGACACAUAAGAUUUUGCCUCUAGGAGCGAAACUAUUUACUACUUGGGUUUGCACUCUGCAGAUGUGUCAGUAUAAUACUAUAGUUGACUAUCCUGCUUUUCCAUGUGUUAUAUUUGACUAGACAAAUAUUUAUUCAAUUUCAUCAACUUCAAUUAUUUGAAAUUUUUAUUUACAAAUUAAACAGUUAAAGUUUUUCUUUCUUCAUUUUAGAUAACAAAUACGAUAUAGAUCAAACUAUAAAAUAAUUUUCUUGUAUGCAAUGAUGAACAACAAGAUUACUAAUUUUCUAUUCAUA
Cicer arietinum (chickpea) is the source of this 4980-nucleotide non-coding RNA. Lineage: Eukaryota; Viridiplantae; Streptophyta; Magnoliopsida; Fabales; Fabaceae. The record is from RefSeq and is a predicted model, not a curated record.